AUUUCCACAAUCCGCAUUCUUCUAUAGAGAUGUGUGCAUAAAGUAUGUUCAGCAAGCUCUGAACUACAUAUAAAAUACGAAAUUACGUGACCCAUUGCUAAUAACAAGUAAGGCAGUAGGAAGUACAAGAUUAUGGUCUAAUCUGCAGGCACAUAUCAUUCCAUCAAUAUGGGUUUCCAGGCUCACCACAUUCGCGCCUUUACUCGUGAUUAGGCGGGGGGAAACAUGCCAUUGCAUCCACUUCAAGAUUUGAUUAUGGUAAAGGUGAGCAGUAGGUUGAGGUGUAUUACUCCAAA
RNAcentral lists this unclassified non-coding RNA (296 nucleotides) under Hevea brasiliensis (rubber tree). Lineage: Eukaryota; Viridiplantae; Streptophyta; Magnoliopsida; Malpighiales; Euphorbiaceae. The record is from RNAcentral.